GGAGAGGUGUCCGAGUGGCUUAUGGUGCAUCCUUGGAAAGGAUGUGUACUGCAAAGUACCGCAGGUUCAAAUCCUGUCCUCUCUGCCA
This 88-nucleotide transfer RNA is filed under the name Candidatus Melainabacteria bacterium. RNAcentral's name for it is "tRNA-Ser". It matches the Rfam family "tRNA". From Rfam's summary of the family: Transfer RNA (tRNA) molecules are approximately 80 nucleotides in length. The record is from RNAcentral. Lineage: Bacteria; Bacillati; Candidatus Melainabacteria.